GUUAAGCGACUAAGCGUACACGGUGGAUGCCCUGGCAGUCAGAGGCGAUGAAGGACGUGCUAAUCUGCGAUAAGCGUCGGUAAGGUGAUAUGAACCGUUAUAACCGGCGAUUUCCGAAUGGGGAAACCCAGUGUGAUUCGUCACACUAUCAUUAACUGAAUCCAUAGGUUAAUGAGGCGAACCGGGGGAACUGAAACAUCUAAGUACCCCGAGGAAAAGAAAUCAACCGAGAUUCCCCCAGUAGCGGCGAGCGAACGGGGAGCAGCCCAGAGCCUGAAUCAGUGUGUGUGUUAGUGGAAGCGUCUGGAAAGGCGUGCGAUACAGGGUGACAGCCCCGUACACAAAAAUGCACAUACUGUGAGCUCGAUGAGUAGGGCGGGACACGUGGUAUCCUGUCUGAAUAUGGGGGGACCAUCCUCCAAGGCUAAAUACUCCUGACUGACCGAUAGUGAACCAGUACCGUGAGGGAAAGGCGAAAAGAACCCCGGCGAGGGGAGUGAAAAAGAACCUGAAACCGUGUACGUACAAGCAGUGGGAGCACGCUUAGGCGUGUGACUGCGUACCUUUUGUAUAAUGGGUCAGCGACUUAUAUUCUGUAGCAAGGUUAACCGAAUAGGGGAGCCGAAGGGAAACCGAGUCUUAACUGGGCGUUAAGUUGCAGGGUAUAGACCCGAAACCCGGUGAUCUAGCCAUGGGCAGGUUGAAGGUUGGGUAACACUAACUGGAGGACCGAACCGACUAAUGUUGAAAAAUUAGCGGAUGACUUGUGGCUGGGGGUGAAAGGCCAAUCAAACCGGGAGAUAGCUGGUUCUCCCCGAAAGCUAUUUAGGUAGCGCCUCGUGAAUUCAUCUCCGGGGGUAGAGCACUGUUUCGGCAAGGGGGUCAUCCCGACUUACCAACCCGAUGCAAACUGCGAAUAC
RNAcentral lists this ribosomal RNA (920 nucleotides) under Escherichia coli. Its description in RNAcentral is "partial 23S ribosomal RNA". It matches the Rfam family "Bacterial large subunit ribosomal RNA", at positions 1 to 963 of the family's 2925-position model. RNAcentral also lists the same sequence under 2 other names. The record is from RNAcentral. Lineage: Bacteria; Pseudomonadati; Pseudomonadota; Gammaproteobacteria; Enterobacterales; Enterobacteriaceae.